This 490-nucleotide ribosomal RNA is filed under the name Paenibacillus sp. RNAcentral describes it as "bacterial SSU rRNA". It matches the Rfam family "Bacterial small subunit ribosomal RNA", at positions 60 to 529 of the family's 1533-position model. The record is from RNAcentral. Lineage: Bacteria; Bacillati; Bacillota; Bacilli; Caryophanales; Paenibacillaceae.
AGUCGAGCGGAGUUGAUAGGAAGCUUGCUUCCUUGAUACUUAGCGGCGGACGGGUGAGUAACACGUAGGCAACCUGCCCUCAAGUUUGGGACAACUACCGGAAACGGUAGCUAAUACCGAAUAAUUGUUUUCUUCGCCUGAAGGAAACUGGAAAGACGGAGCAAUCUGUCACUUGGGGAUGGGCCUGCGGCGCAUUAGCUAGUUGGUGGGGUAACGGCUCACCAAGGCGACGAUGCGUAGCCGACCUGAGAGGGUGAUCGGCCACACUGGGACUGAGACACGGCCCAGACUCCUACGGGAGGCAGCAGUAGGGAAUCUUCCGCAAUGGGCGAAAGCCUGACGGAGCAAUGCCGCGUGAGUGAUGAAGGUUUUCGGAUCGUAAAGCUCUGUUGCCAGGGAAGAACGCUUGGGAGAGUAACUGCUCUCAAGGUGACGGUACCUGAGAAGAAAGCCCCGGCUAACUACGUGCCAGCAGCCGCGGUAAUACGUA